AUGGCGGAGGAACCGUCCGCCAAGCGUCAUCAUGCCGAGACGUCGGACAAGAGCAGCAACCUCGUCAACGUUCACGUCCCCGGCAAGAAGCGCGAGUACACAACAACCCUCACAGGGGUUGAGCACCAUGGCAACGAGACACUGGAGAUCAUCUGCACCAGCGUACCAGAAAAGGCCGACGAGGUGAUCUCCAGGCUCUGGAGGAAGCUUGGCGGCAAGAGUCCGAAUCAUAGGAUCGUCGGCGUUGGUGUGCACUACACCAACGAAGAUGAACCUCCCCAGAUGGCAGCAGUCCUGCAGUUGUGCGUCGAUGACCUCUGCUUGGUGUACCACAUCGCAGCGGCCACAAAAUGGUGA
This 357-nucleotide ribosomal RNA is filed under the name Triticum aestivum (bread wheat). RNAcentral describes it as "partial small subunit ribosomal RNA". Lineage: Eukaryota; Viridiplantae; Streptophyta; Magnoliopsida; Poales; Poaceae. The record is from RNAcentral.